CUGCUUCUUUGCUGAAUUUUUCCUAACUCACUUUCACAUUUUCUUCUAAGAACCCUCCCAUUGUUGUUUAACUCAUUCUUAGUGCCUGCUUUGUGCUUCUUAAUUCUACUUCACUCCUGGUCACUAUGUCAACUCACCACCAUUUCUAUUGUAUCCUCCUCGGGUUCUUUUAUCUCAUGGAGCAGAGGUUCCCGCUUCCACCAAUGGCUUCCUCAAUAAUGCAGAGAAGAACUCUUUUUGUCCAGGAGGGAGUAGGAAAGGGGUCCAUAUUUGUUGGUCAAUAUUUUUAUUAACAUCAUGGACAAAGUUUUGUUUCAGUUUUGAUUGCCUCGUUGCUUGAUUGCAGAGUUUCUACCCAAAGAAGACAGUAAGGGAGCUAUAACUGAGUGGUGGGACCAUUGUCUGCAAAUACUGAGGACUUUAAUGACUUUUUUAUAUAACAUGAUGUUUUCUUCCUGGAAAUUCAUCCUGCCUACGAUAUCUCAUUCUCAAUCAAUUCAUAAGUUUGAACCACGAUCCACACAGCCCCUGAAAACUCACGUUUCCUGUUGCAUUGGAGUUAAAGAAACUGAGAUGAAGAGCUGCUGUCAAUAGGAUGGAGUAAAUGUGAAAUUCAAGGCUUGUAAGAUCACAGAUGCGUUGUCAGAGAAGGAGCGAGCCUAGGGACUCUGGGACAGGACUCUGGAAGGAGCAGAUGUGAUCUUGACCGUAUUUCAUAGUGUGAGAGAGCCUUUCUCACCAAGGACCCUGCUGGAUGAUGACUAGUUAAUAACCAACAGAGGCAAGUAUGCAAUAAAGAAGCCAAAAGAUAAGUGACAGGCAUGCUGGCAGAGAGCAUAUGCUCUCUCAUGGAAGAGGGGAUUGGAAGCAUCUCAAAGAAACUAAAGGUGAUAAUACUAAUAAGUAUUUACUGAAAACUACUGAUUCUCAAGCAUGGUAUUAAAUGCUCACCCAGUGCUGUUGGCCUUUGCUUAACAUGAAAUAAAGAAGAUAUUAUUCCUG
RNAcentral lists this long non-coding RNA (1002 nucleotides) under Rattus norvegicus (Norway rat). Its description in RNAcentral is "long non-coding RNA NONRATT033558". The record is from RNAcentral. Lineage: Eukaryota; Metazoa; Chordata; Mammalia; Rodentia; Muridae.